Molecule: microRNA precursor, 105 nt
Filed under: Canis lupus dingo (dingo)
Lineage: Eukaryota; Metazoa; Chordata; Mammalia; Carnivora; Canidae
Description: mir-8834 microRNA precursor family
Rfam family: mir-8834 microRNA precursor family
Source: Rfam by way of RNAcentral
AGGAGCAACAGCCCUAGUGGCGGGGCCAGCUCUGGAAACCUGGAUUCAGCUCCGGCAGGAACUCCGGAGCUCUCUGUCUGCAGGGCCUGGAGGCUCCGGGCGGGG